GACAGAGGGGGCAAGCGUUGCUCGGAAUUACUGGGCGUAAAGGGCGCGUAGGCGGAAUGGCAAGUCGGUCGUGAAAUCCUUCGGCUCAACCGAAGAACGUCGAUCGAAACUGCCGUUCUUGAGGAUUGCAGAGGAGACUGGAAUUCCCGGUGUAGCGGUGAAAUGUGUAGAGAUCAGGAAGAACACCCGUGGCUAAGGCGGCUCUCUAGUACGGUACUGACGCUGAGACGCGAAAGCGUGGGGAGCGAACAGG
This 253-nucleotide ribosomal RNA is filed under the name uncultured bacterium. Its description in RNAcentral is "partial 16S ribosomal RNA". It matches the Rfam family "Bacterial small subunit ribosomal RNA", at positions 524 to 776 of the family's 1533-position model. The record is from RNAcentral.